GUGACUGAGAGCAGGAGAGUGACCUGUCUUAUCAGCGGGGAAGCGCAUACCUCCCAACACUCUGUAUGCAGAAUUCAGGACUACAGCGUGCGUCGAACGUGCAUGCACCCGAAAAGGGGAAGUGGCCUCAACAAAAGGUGGUGUGGCUUCACAGGAAUGCCGCAACCUCCAGCCACCAUCACUGUGGAAGCAUGCCCAGUACUGCAGGAGUUGCUGCCAUGAGUCUUGUCCCUCUCUUCUGUGAAUAAAGCAGCGAGCGACAGGGGUUCCCCUAACUCACCCACCACCUUAGUUGGGACAGGGACAGUGGUACAGUGUUCCAAUAAAUGGGACUGCCCAGCAAAAAUCGGUACAGUUGGAAGAAUAACACCAGGCUGUAUGAGGAGGAAGCUGAACUGACGUGUUAUACAUGCUGAAAUAACUGUUAAAUGCUCCGGGUUUGCCUCUGUUCCCUAAUUCCUGGCCUGUCAGCUGAUGAUUAAUGAGAAGGGAAUAUGAAAGAAGCCCACAAAACACAAUACAGAAACAGUACUCGGGGCCACAAUCCCUGAGCCUUAAAUCAUAACGGUGGAAUAAAAAGAUGAAUAAAUUGCCCAGUAAAA
Molecule: long non-coding RNA, 602 nt
Organism: Pseudophryne corroboree (corroboree frog)
Lineage: Eukaryota; Metazoa; Chordata; Amphibia; Anura; Myobatrachidae
Exons: 2
Source: RefSeq, a predicted model, not a curated record